RNAcentral lists this small nucleolar RNA (85 nucleotides) under Salarias fasciatus (jewelled blenny). RNAcentral describes it as "Small nucleolar RNA SNORD53/SNORD92 (ENSSFAG00005015056.1)". It matches the Rfam family "Small nucleolar RNA SNORD53/SNORD92". From Rfam's summary of the family: U53 is a member of the C/D class of snoRNA which contain the C (UGAUGA) and D (CUGA) box motifs. The record is from Rfam by way of RNAcentral. Lineage: Eukaryota; Metazoa; Chordata; Actinopteri; Blenniiformes; Blenniidae.
UGGGAGUGAUGAUGCUGAGAAAAGGUUUUGCUUAAUGAGCUGAUGAUGUCACGUGAUGUCACUCUUCUCUUGGCUGUCUGACCAA